GGUUAAACUUGGAUUUGUGCUUCGAGGUCCAUUAUGAAGAACAACUUAUAAUUACAUAUUAGGCAUUCAACUACAUAUAUUUCAUCCGUUUCAUCAACUUGUAGAAGCAAGCACAAUGUUUCUUUAUUAUUAAUUUCAUGGAUGAAGGAACAAGUAACGAAGUUAAAACAAGAUAUAGUAGAGAAGCAUACUAUGUUGGAGAACUUGAAGAAAAUACAAGGUUGUACGUUCGAAUAAAUGGAAUAUCAACUGUUGUUACAAUAUGCGAGAAAGUUUUCCAUCAAGUUAACAUAUGGGUUUAUCUUAGUAAACAUUAUAAUUCGGAUUUUAUUGUAUCGUU
Long non-coding RNA from Helianthus annuus (common sunflower), 340 nucleotides. RefSeq lists it as uncharacterized. The record is from RefSeq and is a predicted model, not a curated record. The transcript is spliced from 2 exons. NCBI's taxonomy places the organism in Eukaryota, Viridiplantae, Streptophyta, Magnoliopsida, Asterales, Asteraceae.